Non-coding RNA from Pteropus alecto (black flying fox), 119 nucleotides. Lineage: Eukaryota; Metazoa; Chordata; Mammalia; Chiroptera; Pteropodidae. The record is from Rfam.
GUCUAUGGCCAUGCCACCCUGAGCAAGCCUGAUUCUGUCUGAUCUUGGAAGCUAAGCAGGGUCGGGCCUGGUUAGUACUUGGAUGGGAGACCACCUAGGAAAACCAGGCGCUGUAGGCA